RNAcentral lists this long non-coding RNA (1186 nucleotides) under Olea europaea subsp. europaea. Lineage: Eukaryota; Viridiplantae; Streptophyta; Magnoliopsida; Lamiales; Oleaceae. The record is from RNAcentral.
AUUUUGUUCUAUUUUUGUGGUUUUGGAACCACUUCAAACAUUGUAGUUUCAAAGGGGAAAAGAGACUCAAUCCAAAUGCAUUGAAGAGACGAGAUGUUGAAGUAUCUUAAGGACAGAACUCCUGUUGAUUAGCAUGAAUUUCUUGGUUUGCAUGUUGUGAAACUAAGCAGUGAGACAGGAUGGGAAAGUGUUAUUUACAUCUUCAGUCAGCAACAUUCUAGCAUUUUGUCCUUGUUCUUGUUAUCAUCAUCAUCUUUUAUCCUCUCAAUUUAAUACGACAUAUUAAACAGCACAAAGUACAAAUGUGUGGUAAACCAAAAGAUAAAUUAACAGGCAUGUGCCCAGCUUUGCAAUCGUGUGUAUGUGCUGAUGGGGGUGUUCUGUCCAAAGUCUCUGUGUAUAAAUAGCCAAGUCACGAAGCCACAAUUAUUCAACAGCUACAAAGGCACAAAUAGAUAUACAGUGUAUAAUGGCUCAGGAUUACCAAACAGUACUCAAUUUGGUUCUGAUGCUUAGUGACACGAACCAUCCGAAUCAUCCUAGCAGAUCCGACAUGUGUUAUGCGCCGAUGGCAGAUACCAGCUAAACGUCGAACCCACCACCAAGGCAACUUGACUUGCUUGACUGAAAAAUAUUUUUAACAAAAUUUUGAUAGAGUUCCCCCUAAAAUAUGAACUAAAAUCACCUGGACAAUAACAAAGUUUCUUCAAUUCAAUACCUAUAAUAUAAAAUAGGAUACACCAGUCCCUCCAAAUACAAACUAUUUAAACAAAAUGCUGGCCAUCAAUAUUUACUUGUUUUACAACCAACAAUCCUCAAAUAUACCAAAUACGGCAAAUAUGUAAUGAGCCCAUGAUGAAUUUUUCUGAUUUAAGAUACAUAUACCUCGAAAGAACACAUGCUGUAUAAUCUGAUAAAGGAUGUCAACCUACGAAGCAUGGCACAAUUCGAUGGUUUAACAGACUCCAAAGUUGCUCAAUUCGACUGCUAUCUGAUAAAAAAAUGGUGAAAAGAUGUAUAAUCUUAUAGCUCAGUAAGUGGAUAAUUUGCAAAUAAACAUAUUUUUCUUUUAUGCAUGUAUUCUGAAAAUUCUAACUUUAUAAAAACUUUGAGAAAUUCUAAGAUCUGGUAACAUUUUUAAAACUAAAUAUUAAUGUAUUACAUAUUUCUUUGUUCUUAAUUCUAG